Molecule: ribosomal RNA, 253 nt
Filed under: uncultured bacterium
Lineage: Bacteria
Description: partial 16S ribosomal RNA
Rfam family: Bacterial small subunit ribosomal RNA
Source: RNAcentral
UACGUAGGUGGCGAGCGUUGUCCGGAUUUACUGGGCGUAAAGGGAGCGUAGGCGGAUUUUUAAGUGAGAUGUGAAAUACUCGGGCUCAACUUGAGUGCUGCAUUUCAAACUGGAAGUCUAGAGUGCAGGAGAGGAGAAUGGAACUCCUAGUGUAGCGGUGAAAUGCGUAGAGAUUAGGAAGAACACCAGUGGCGAAGGCGAUUCUCUGGACUGUAACUGACGCUGAGGCUCGAAAGCGUGGGGAGCAAACAGG